UACGACCACAACACAUUGAAACUCUGGUUCCCAUACGAUCACUGAAGUUAAGCAAAGUUGAGCCUGGUCAGUACCUAGAUGGGUGACUGCUUGGGAAAACCGG
Molecule: non-coding RNA, 103 nt
Organism: Acanthosepion pharaonis
Lineage: Eukaryota; Metazoa; Mollusca; Cephalopoda; Sepiida; Sepiidae
Source: the annotation of a GenBank genome assembly